GCUCCUUUCACCACUCUGGUCUCAGAAAAGUACAUUUGCCAUAAAGAACAAAGAAUGUCUGAGAACAGAUUAUGUGUCUAGAGAAGCACUGGAGGUCAGGAUGACCUGAGACCUUCAAGGAAGCACAUCAUCCCUGCAUCCUUCCCCCACAUAACUGGUUGAGAAAGCAAGCACAGGCCAGAUCACAGGACCAUGCUCUGGCCUCCCAGAUGGGCUCUCCCUGCAGAUGUGGCCUCCAGAGCCAGCCUUGCACUGCCCCACACCUCUCCAGCUUCUCAAAUCUGUGUCUUUAGACACACAGUGCACAACAAAGGAAAUGAAGGCAGAGAAUAAGGCCUUAACAGAGCUAAGAAAUGCAGUGUUGGUGACACUGGAGAGCGGAAUCUUCCAGAAAGCAGCCAAGUGUUGAGAAGAGAAAUAAGCAGGCCUAAGUAUGGAUCUUUUAAUGAACUUGAAGUACUUAACCCAGCCAUCAAAACUAGGAGUCUCAUUACUGGAUAACCUGGAGAAGAGCUUCCAGAGGCUGCUUCAUUCUGCUGUAGAUUUGAGGUACUGCUUCAAAUUGCUCUGUAUAUCCACUGACAGCACUGAGCUCAUCUGAGUCAGCUCCAUGGGAUGGGCUUCUGUUGGUGUCAGGAAACUGAACAACACAAGGAAAGAAGAGCAGUAAAGGAUCAGGCAGAGAAAUGAGGGGUCCAUUAAGGAGGUUAAGGUGCAGGGAUCUUUACAGCAGGAACUGGAAUCCUCUGUAGCGUCUACAUUGGGCACAUUGGCUGGUACUGCAAGUUUGUGAACACCUGAUCACCCAAGCAGUGACUCCAUUGAACAGAAGAGGGGUUUUCUAUUUUUUCUUGCUUCAGAAAGGUGAAGAAUUGUACCACAGGUGGAGGGAACAAAACAACUUGUUAACAUUGUGAAAGACUGAUGGUAGAACUGCCUGAUCUCAAUGCCAAGGCAUUUAGUCCAAUGAUAACUCAGGGUUUUCUGAAUAUUUAUCUAGCACACCAUUUCUGAGCUGGAAGCAGUUCACCUCCUUGGAGAAGCCGAGUUGGAGAUACUCUCUGCAGCAUCAUUUGGAGCAUCCCAACUUCAAAGCAAAUUAUUCAACCCAAUCACUCCAGACUCUCUCUGCUGAAAUCAGGAGCAGGCUGGGGAAGGGCACAGCUUGGACAGCUCCUGCCUCACGUUCUGACUGCCCAGGAUUGGCUGAUGUCGUGAUGGAAACAGGGUUUAGUCCUUACAGACAGUGGGCAAAUGAAGGAUUCUGGUUCAUGAAGUGGCCAACAGCUGAAUUCACUUCAAAAAAUAGUCCAAUUGAGAAAAAUGUUUUAUUUAUUUCUAUUUAUUUUUUUAAUAGCUGGGAAGAAAACAUUUCCCUAGAUGAUAUCACAGUAAUAUUCAAAUAUGAUUCCCUGAGAAAUAUACUCACCAAGAUAUACUUAAUUUUAAAUUAGUUAAGUGGUUAUUUGGCUGAAAGGGAUUUUACAAACAAGAUCUACUUAUGAAUCUUCAGGCUAAGGAAAUAUUCUAGUGAAGUUAAUUAAGAAUAGGAUUCUUUACUAUGUCUUCUGGUUAAUAUGAUAAUCAGGACCAUGUUUGCAGCCACUGAGAACUGUAAUCAAACAACAACAACAAAAAGGUAAUAAUCAUCCACAUGCUUCACAGGCUUUUUUUUUCUUGAGGGAACCUUCUAGCUACAAUUAUAAAUAUUAUUUAUAGUGACAGUAUUACUUGUCUCAAAUUUGCAACCUCUUAAUAUGCUGGUGUUUUAGGAUUGAGCAAGAUUUAGAAGGGGAGGAAGUCUGGCAAACUUUAUCAGUAGAAUCUUCUGAUAAAGGGAAAUGGGCUUUUAUUUUUCCUCUUUGUUGUAAAUGUCUUCUAAAAGUCUGCCAUAGAAAAAAAUUAAAAUUGGAACUGUUUGAUGAAAAAGAAUGACAGUUUUGUUUUCUUAAUAAAAUGACAUUAUUUUUAGUAAAACAAUGUAACAGAAUUUUUGGGGGUUUGCUUGGGGUUUGUGACAUUUUGCCAAUGUCACCAUAAUUGCAAAAAAAAAAUCUGGUGUUACAACCACAGCAGUGAGGAGGUUCCAAUGUGUGAGGAGAGGGUGUUCAUAACACUCCUCAGCAUUGCUGUCCUGGCAAUUAACCAGCAGAGGGGUCACUAAAUGAGGGUCAAAUACAGGGGAGGAAUCUCCUAAAGGCAGGAGCCUUUGGGAACAGUCCUGUGGAGA
Molecule: non-coding RNA, 2230 nt
Organism: Zonotrichia albicollis (white-throated sparrow)
Lineage: Eukaryota; Metazoa; Chordata; Aves; Passeriformes; Passerellidae
Source: RefSeq, a predicted model, not a curated record